This 497-nucleotide ribosomal RNA is filed under the name uncultured bacterium. RNAcentral's name for it is "partial 16S ribosomal RNA". It matches the Rfam family "Bacterial small subunit ribosomal RNA", at positions 28 to 507 of the family's 1533-position model. The record is from RNAcentral.
GAUGAACGCUGGCGGCGUGCCUAAUACAUGCAAGUCGAGCGAACAGACGAGGAGCUUGCUCCUCUGACGUUAGCGGCGGACGGGUGAGUAACACGUGGAUAACCUACCUAUAAGACUGGGAUAACUUCGGGAAACCGGAGCUAAUACCGGAUAAUAUAUUGAACCGCAUGGUUCAAUAGUGAAAGACGGUUUUGCUGUCACUUAUAGAUGGAUCCGCGCCGCAUUAGCUAGUUGGUAAGGUAACGGCUUACCAAGGCAACGAUGCGUAGCCGACCUGAGAGGGUGAUCGGCCACACUGGAACUGAGACACGGUCCAGACGCCUACGGGAGGCAGCAGUAGGGAAUCUUCCGCAAAGGGCGAAAGCUUGACGGAGCAACGCCGCGUGAGUGAUGAAGGUCUUCGGAUCGUAAAACUCUGUUAUUAGGGAAGAACAAAUGUGUAAGUGACUAUGCACGUCUUGACGGUACCUAAUCAGAAAGCCACGGCUAACUACGUG